GGGCCUGUAGUUCAACGGAUAGAACGGCGGUUUCCGGUACCGCAGAUCGGGGUUCGAUUCCCUGCGGGCCUA
RNAcentral lists this transfer RNA (72 nucleotides) under Akkermansiaceae bacterium. RNAcentral describes it as "tRNA-Arg". It matches the Rfam family "tRNA". From Rfam's summary of the family: Transfer RNA (tRNA) molecules are approximately 80 nucleotides in length. Their secondary structure includes four short double-helical elements and three loops (D, anti-codon, and T loops). Lineage: Bacteria; Pseudomonadati; Verrucomicrobiota; Verrucomicrobiia; Verrucomicrobiales; Akkermansiaceae. The record is from RNAcentral.